This 1200-nucleotide long non-coding RNA is filed under the name Bemisia tabaci. RNAcentral's name for it is "lncRNA ENSSSA2NGG000952". The record is from RNAcentral. Lineage: Eukaryota; Metazoa; Arthropoda; Insecta; Hemiptera; Aleyrodidae.
AUGAAUUUCGAGAACGUGUUAAUGAACGAGUCGGAGCUGGAGAAACCCUCGACUUCGGGGACCUCCAAGAAGAAAGUGACGAUCGAGGAGUGUUUCUCCAGGCAGAGUGGGAAGCAGAGGUCGAAAGGCGGUGUAAAGAGGAGCUCCUCGCCGAAUCGUCAUCCGAAUCCGGCGACUCGAUCGGGGAGCUCUUCCUCUGCGAAGAAGAGAUGUACGAGUCCUCGGCAGGAGAAGGAAGAGGAGGAGAGGAUAGUCCUGGAGCUCUCUCCGACCCCCUCCGGAGCCGAGGAACCAGGAGGACCGGGAGUGGACGGAGGUGCCGAACACUCAGGCUUUGAUGGCGGAGAAGAGGACUAUCGGGCAGACAAGGAAAAGGAGCAACUCCGGGAGAAAGCGACGACGAACCCAUGGAUACUAAUGCUGACCAAUCUGGUGUACCUGAGUGGAUGCGGUUUGGCUCCUCUCCCUCGGACCUUGGAUCUGAUGAAGACAGAAUUACAGAAGAUGGCUACCGAUGCGCAGAACUGGGGGAUCUUGGGAUCCGGGAUGUUGAAGCGUUGUAUGAAGGACUUGGUAAGUCAGGGAAAGAAGUUGUUGACCUGUGGCGUACUGGAUAUGGUGGAGCUCAUGGUCGAUGAUACGUCAUACACGACAUUUUUCGACUUGGAGCUGCCCAUCGAGAUCCGGAAGUCAUUUCAAAGCAGCUGGCUCGGCUCUCCACAGGAACUUUCAUCGUAUCCGUCCACGGCUGCCACCUCCACUGUGUCCAUGCCUGCCGCUUCUCAAACAGCACGUGCAGGUGCUAUAUCACAAAACACUUGCGCGGGCGGUUCGGGAGGUGGGUGGCUCGCAGAAAUUGCAAAGAGCGUGAGUACAGCGAGACACGGUGGAGUUAUCUCGCAAUAUACUUAUGCAGCGGUGGACGGAGGCCAGCUAAAGUUUCAGUCGAAGGGCGAAAUUGGACAUACCACCGUUCGACUGGAAAUUUACCCGUUCGCAAAAAUCGUGCAGCAGAAGCCGUUCAACUGGUGGGUCGACGCGGAAUGGCGGACGCUGUUCCACCUCGAUCCCCAGGACCCGGACCUAGCUCUGUUAAGGGAGAUUUGCGAACGGAAAACGAAACUUCUUGUGGAGAGAGGGGUUGAGGGAACGAUGAUACAUCCAGAAUACAGAGACGAAACAAAGGCGAGCAAAUCCUAG